AUGCCAGUAGGAUUAACGCCUGAUACAAAACUCGUUAAAUGUAAAAAUACCCCGUUUCCCGAGAGGGUGCUCGCUGCAGAACCACAAAGGCGGAGCUGCACCAUAAGGUGGAGCUGCACCAGGGUGGUUCUGCAGCGAGCACCACUUGCGUUUCCCAGCGCUACAAGCAUUGAUUCUGCUGCUGUUUUUCCACUUAAAGUGUCGUUAACUUUCACAUUAUCUCAAAGCCUCUUGAGGCACCAAAAGUUACUCACAAAGAUACAGUGGACUCACAUUCACCUCCAUACAACACCUGCAUGAGAUUUGAACUUGUAAAAUAUUUACAGCACGCUUUGUUUUUCUUCUAAUGAUUUUUUUAGAGCUCCAUACAGUCAUUCUUUUUUCAAUUAGCAGUCAUGUUUGAUCCAGCUGACGCCGUCGGUCGGUUGUAGUGAUCUUAUGGCGUGUCAGGACCAGAUUCAAUGAGUGAACUGAUUUGAUCUUACUUCACCUCAUGGCCCUCUAGACAGUCAAGUAAUAUUACAGUCAUCAGCAGAAAUAUGGACAGGAAGCCAUUGGCUCAUCUUGCAUAAAAUGUUUGUGAUUUUGCUCAAAAACUUUUUUUUAGAAAACCACGAAAAUUAUUUGGUUAAAUCACAAAAAAAUAAAUCAGUGAUGCAACAUAACUGAAUAUCCAAAGCAUGUGUGGUCCUAAACAAUAAAAUCACAAUGCAUGCACUUUUGCAUGGAUGAAUUAAAGAUGCAAACCCAUUUUAACUUAGAAAUCUUAAUCAAAUAAUCAUUUACUUUAUCUUCUUUUAGAAUAUUUAUGGAAAGAUAUUAUGUUGAAAGGAAAUAUUUGAAAAAAAAAAAACAACAUUACCGAAAACUAAGAAGGAAACGUGGGAGCUUCAUUUUAGUGCACUGCUUCUCCGCUCUGUAUUGUUUCAUCAUCCAGAUGGUAUCCAAAUCAAAUAUGGCACAGGUGAAGAUGAGCAAUUCACAACCCGAUUAAUCAGUAACCUCCUCCUCAAAGGACAACGACUGUUAUUGAAGAAUGUAAUGGGGUAAUGCCCUCGACAGCCAGAAAAUACAACGACUGUCAGUCUAACUUUACAUAAUCAGGUAUCAGCUGGAUCAGCAGUGCAAGUUAAAACUUAGAAAAUAUUCAACAAAAAGACAGAAUUAAAAAAAUAAUGAGCAUCACCCUAUUUACCCAACUUCACAUUUUCAUUGCACUGCAUAGGUGACUGCAUCGCUACCACAGAUGAGAUGUAUUUAUAUUUUAAUAAUGCCUCAUUUAAAUUUUACACCUUCUUUAAAUUUCUGUUUGUCUUCUUCAUGAGCUGCCACAUUUUAUAUGUGCUGUAGACCACUUCAUUA
RNAcentral lists this long non-coding RNA (1362 nucleotides) under Nothobranchius furzeri (turquoise killifish). RNAcentral describes it as "lncRNA (ENSNFUG00015022795.1)". Lineage: Eukaryota; Metazoa; Chordata; Actinopteri; Cyprinodontiformes; Nothobranchiidae. The record is from RNAcentral.